GCGGCUGUAGUUCAAUUGGUAGAACACUGGCCUUCCAAGCCAGGGGUUGCGAGUUCGAGUCUCGUCGGCCGCU
Molecule: transfer RNA, 73 nt
Filed under: Marinitoga piezophila KA3
Lineage: Bacteria; Thermotogati; Thermotogota; Thermotogae; Petrotogales; Petrotogaceae
Rfam family: tRNA
About the family: Transfer RNA (tRNA) molecules are approximately 80 nucleotides in length. Their secondary structure includes four short double-helical elements and three loops (D, anti-codon, and T loops).
Source: Rfam by way of RNAcentral